Molecule: ribosomal RNA, 292 nt
Filed under: uncultured Planctomycetota bacterium
Lineage: Bacteria; Pseudomonadati; Planctomycetota
Description: uncultured planctomycete partial 16S ribosomal RNA
Source: RNAcentral
GGACUACUAGGGUAUCUAAUCCCGUUCGCUACCCUAGCUUUCGCGCCUCAGCGUCAGAAGAGGUCCAGCCUGUCGCUUUCGCCACCGGCGUUCCUUCCGAUAUCAACGCAUUUCACCGCUCCACCGGAAGUUCCACAAGCCCCUGCCUCCCUCAAGCCCGCCAGUAUCAAAGGCACUUUUCCGGUUAAGCCGAAAGAUUUCACCCCUGACUUGGCGAGCCGCCUACGCGCCCUUUAAGCCCAGUGAUUCCGAACAACGUUCGCACGGUUCGUCUUACCGCGGCGGCUGGCAC